UAGGGAAUAUUGGACAAUGGGGGCAACCCUGAUCCAGCCAUGCCGCGUGAGUGAAGAAGGCCCUCGGGUUGUAAAGCUCUUUUGUCCGGAAAGAAAAGCUUCGGGUUAAUACCCCGGGGUUCUGACGGUACCGGAAGAAUAAGCACCGGCUAACUUCGUGCCAGCAGCCGCGGUAAUACGGAGGGUGCGAGCGUUAUCCGGAUUUACUGGGUUUAAAGGGUGCGUAGGUGGGCUUAUAAGUCAGUGGUGAAAUCUCCGAGCUUAACUUGGAAACUGCCGUUGAUACUAUAGGUCUUGAAUUAUCUGGAGGUAAGCGGAAUAUGUCAUGUAGCGGUGAAAUGCUUAGAUAUGACAUAGAACACCAAUUGCGAAGGCAGCUUACUACAUAUAAAUUGACGCUGAGGCACGAAAGCGUGGGGAUUAAACA
RNAcentral lists this ribosomal RNA (427 nucleotides) under uncultured bacterium. RNAcentral's name for it is "bacterial SSU rRNA". It matches the Rfam family "Bacterial small subunit ribosomal RNA", at positions 355 to 774 of the family's 1533-position model. The record is from RNAcentral.